RNAcentral lists this non-coding RNA (26 nucleotides) under Mus musculus (house mouse). The record is from RNAcentral. Lineage: Eukaryota; Metazoa; Chordata; Mammalia; Rodentia; Muridae.
UGAUAAGCCUCACCUACUGACCGCCC